UCUGCAUUAAUAGUUUUCAGAAGUAGCCUAUCUAGUUUUCCGAGGUGGGUUCUAUUCACCUAUAGCUAUUUUCCUGCUUAUUUCUAGGCUAUGGUUUACCUCUAUCAUGCAAAUGCCCAACACUUUUUUGCUUUCUAAGAUCAUCCUGUAUGAAAGAUGUAUGACUGGAUAAUGAAAGACUUGCAUGGUAUGCAAUCUGAACGUCCACAAAGUACAAAAGGUAUCACCUAAUAAGAGAAAUGAUAUUAACACAACACGAUAUGGGAUAGAAAGCAAAUCCUAAAAGGAAAAACCCAUCACUAAACAGAAUAGAAGAAAUGGGUUCAGG
This 328-nucleotide long non-coding RNA is filed under the name Panax ginseng (ginseng). RNAcentral describes it as "long non-coding RNA (PGIN_LNC006838)". The record is from RNAcentral. Lineage: Eukaryota; Viridiplantae; Streptophyta; Magnoliopsida; Apiales; Araliaceae.